RNAcentral lists this long non-coding RNA (12703 nucleotides) under Daucus carota (carrot). RNAcentral's name for it is "long non-coding RNA (DCAR_LNC004777)". The record is from RNAcentral. Lineage: Eukaryota; Viridiplantae; Streptophyta; Magnoliopsida; Apiales; Apiaceae.
AUAGAAUUGCACAUGUUUCCUUUGAAUUUAUUUGCAUUCUUCUUUAUAACAUGAUAUUCUUCAUCACUCACAUUAUCAUCAGAAAUAUCUGGGUCAUCAGAAUCCUCACUCUCUGUAUCCUUUUUAUACUCAGUAUCAUCCGUGUCUUCACUAUACUCCCCCUCACUACUAUGCCCCCGUUCCUCUAUUUCUAUCUCAGCCCCUAGCUUUUGUGUUCUGUGCAUUGUGGUAUCAUUUUUUUUCCUUUGGUGAGGGUGGAACAUCAACAAGUUCAUCCAAAUCAAAAUGAUCAACAUACAAUUCAAUUUUUCCAUAUGGCUUACACGAUGCAACCAAGUCCCUAACUGAUAUGGCAUCAUAAACUACCCUUGUGCCCUGCUUAAAGCUAUGACCAUCACACUAAAAACAUACUAGUGCAUUCUCAUCAUAGUCAUACUUCUUAGCAAAUUCUUCUAAAUCACGAAAACUUAAAGUAUCACUAUCGAAAUCAUGGAUCACUUCAACUUUACCACCCAUAUACUUCACAUUUGGAGGAGGACUGAAAUCACCGUGGUGGUAGAGAUAUAAAGUAGUAGACAUACUGUCAAUUCAAAAAACAUAUACAAUUAUACACAUACCAUCUACAUCAUAAACACAACCAACACAUGAAUCUACAAUUAACAACAUUUAUGCAGUCGAAUUAGGGUUCAUAUCUGGAAAUAGAAGUCGAAGACGAUGUACGGAAUGCAUAAUCUCCACGACAAUUAAAAGCUUUUAAUCGAAUUCAGUCGUGCCCUAAAAUUUCGCCCACCUUCUCCCCCCAAAUUCAACUUCUCUCCUGUCUAUACUUCCCCUAAAAUUAAAACAACGGCUUUAUUUUUGUUUGGGGCUUUUAACAAAAUCGAUCCGCUUACAUGUCUGCAAUAUCAUCUUCCAAGUGGCAUACACGUGUCUCCACGUAGCCUAAACGUUAAAGUCAAGACGGUCCCGCUAGAUCAACAUAAAUAUUUAACGUCAAUGUCAUUACUGGUUACUAGAGUGGUACACUUAAGAUGCCGAUAACUAGAGUGAGGCAAUUGAUAUCAGGCCUUCAGUUGAGUGAGCAUUUUGAGAUUCAACCCAAUUUAUAAUUAAAUUUGACUCGUGUCAAUGGUCUCAUUUAUAAUUUUGAAUGAUUUUGGUUGAAUAUGGCUAUAGUCGAUUACUUUUCUAAUAUUAUUGCGACUAGGGAUGAGCUUUUGGUCCGUUCGAUCCAAAACCGGUCCCAAUCGAAUAGACCAAAAAUCGAAAUUUCAUUUCUUCCCGGAACGAAACUGAAAUUUUAAUAUGGACCGAACCAAACCGAACGGUUCGGUCCGGACCAAAAUAAUCAAAAAUUCUCUAAAAAUUACAAAUUAUAUUAUAAAUAAAACUAAAAUUCAUGAAAUAUUUUUAAAAAAUUAAUAGUAAUUAAUCAUCACCACUUCACCUAAUUAAAUUUAUAAAUUAAAUAUUAUAAUAUUAACAUAUAUAUGAGAUAUAUAUAUCUCAUAUAUAUAUAUAUAUAUAUAUAUAUAUAUAUAUAUAUUGUGUGUGUGUGUGUGUGUGUGUGUGUGUGUGUGUGUGUGUGUGUGUGUGUGUNNNNNNNNNNNNNNNNNNNNNNNNNNNNNNNNNNNNNNNNNNNNNNNNNNNNNNNNNNNNNNNNNNNNNNNNNNNNNNNNNNNNNNNNNNNNNNNNNNNNNNNNNNNNNNNNNNNNNNNNNNNNNNNNNNNNNNNNNNNNNNNNNNNNNNNNNNNNNNNNNNNNNNNNNNNNNNNNNNNNNNNNNNNNNNNNNNNNNNNNNNNNNNNNNNNNNNNNNNNNNNNNNNNNNNNNNNNNNNNNNNNNNNNNNNNNNNNNNNNNNNNNNNNNNNNNNNNNNNNNNNNNNNNNNNNUAUAUAUAAUUUAUAUUAUAUAUAAUUUGGACUAUUCGGUCUAUUUGAUCUGAACUGAAAAUAUAAUUUGUUUCUCUCUUCUUGUGUGUGUCUCUUCCCCAAUCUCUUUCCCACUUCUUGCAUCUACAAGAUGGAUGCUACAGGGUCCACCAACGAGAAUAACACAAAAACAAAAAAAAACAGAGAUUCCACGAUGUAUUUUUCUAUGACAAACUAGUUGUGAAGAAAACUUGAUGGUUUGAUGAGAAUACUAAAAGGAAGAUACUCGUGUCCCCGAAUGGAUGGAAUAGUUGUUCUUACAUGAAAUGGAUUCAUCAACCACUUAAAAGGCGAGUAGUGGAGGUGGUUCAAGGUAUAUUGAAAGAGAUUAACGACUUGAAGCCCGUACACCAAAUAUAAAAGUGCAAGAUCUAUGCUAGGUUUGCGAGAAAAAGGGAAAAAAUUGUGAUGAAGGUCAAGAUUCAUACUGCAUUAGUUGAAGUUGUAGCCACUAAGUCAGAAGAAGAAAAUUAGGUGUAUGGGUCAGAGAAUGAUGAUUUAUAGUUAGUUUAUAUUUGUUGGUUCAUAGUUUGUUGUUGGACAGUUGUGUCCGUUUAUGUUCGUGUUGAGACUAUGAUUAUGGUCACCUCUUUUGGUUAUUUAUGAAAGGGAGGUUAUUGUUAAUUGAUUCUAAAUUUUUAAUUAUAUUCUAUGCUUUGGUCAUAACCCUUGCUAGCAAAAAUAAUACACAUAUUAGUGCAAGAUAAAUAACCAUGAAGAAGAUAAACUGCCAUUGGCCCAAACAUAAAAUCUGAAAUGUUUACAUCAAUCCCAAACAUACUAGUGUAAGCAAAAGAUUGGACCAUAAAUCGUAGUUCAAUACUGCAAACAAUCAAGAUUGAACUAUGGACAUUAAUUCUUAGUUCAAUACUGUCAAAUGAUCAUAAUACAAAAGUUCACAAUUUCUCGGGUGUACUUUAUUUAAAUUUCUUCCUCCUCUCCCUCCUGCCUUGGUCCAACAUCCCCUAUCUUGAUAUUGGACCCUUUUUGAUUGCCUUUUUUUUCCUUGCUGAGCAAAAAUUCCACCAUGAAUACCUUCUGGCAUUGAACCACUUUCACCAUCUUGAUUGUUAGUACUUGAAGUUGGAUGAGUGGAUGGCAAUACUGCAGUUCUCUAAAAAUUAGAGUCUAGCCUCCUUUUAGCUUUGUAGUUUUAUUUUGUUGUUUAGAUAUCGGCCUUCCUUGAUUUUCUUCACCACCACCACUUGUCGCAUUAUUAUUAGAGACUUGUGACUACUUUGUUCUAAUGAAAAUUACUUAAAAAAUUUAUUAAGAAGUAUCAUUACUCUUGUUGGGCAAGUUCAAAAGAGACAACAGAAGCACUAAUCACUAAAUCUAGGCAUAUAAUUAUAAAAUUUAACCUAUAAAUUUGUAUAUAGAACAUGCAAAUUAGGAGAAAAACAGUUUAACAACACAAACUUAUCAAAAUAACAUAACUCCUCUAGUUCUCGUCUUUUUUUUUUUUUACUUCAAUAUGUAAAACAGACGCCGUUUAAAAAACAUAUCGAAAAUGAAUGUUAGAUUUAAUCAUAAUCAUAUUAAAAUCCUAAAAGUCGUGAGUAAAGUUACAUGCAUUAAGUAAUACAAAGAUAUAUUUAGGAUUCCAGUAAGAAAUGCACAAAAAACCGUUAAUAUACCUGUCUAAGUAUUCUUCUGACUUUUUAAGGUUGAUAAGCUCAGAAUUGCCAAAUCUCUCCAUUUUUUUCAACAGAUCAUUGUCGUAGAUAGCGAGUUAUGACAUAUUUUACUUAAUUAAGGCAAAUAGCUAGUGAAAUGAUGAACAAACGACAUAAUCUUAUGGUUGAAUCGUGGAGUUAAUAGAAUUGUAAUAAUGAAAUUACUGAAGAACUCUAUCAUUAUUAUAGUUUUUUUUACAAAUUAAAAGAAGCGUUAAAUUAAUUGACCAAGUCUUAAAAUGCUUUGGGCUAGACUUUUGUACAAAUUCUACGCCAUAAGCGCACAUCGGCAACGCUUAUUAGCAAGCGUUGCAGCAAAAGCAUUGCAUUUUCUAUAAAGAAUUAGAUCUUUUACAACACAGCGAAGAAAACGUUGCAUUACAGUUAAGCUACCAUUACUUAUUAUAUACACUGUUGCGCAAAGUGCAACACUAGCAACAUUAGUGUUGCAUUAGCAAUUUAAAAUUAAUAUUUAUUGCUGACACGGUCUUUGUGGGGCCCAAAAAACGCUGAGGUGACAUGCUAAGGUGGAUGGGGGACCCACAGUGCUGACGUGACAUGUGGGCCCCACUUGUGGUCCACACUGCUGACGUGGCAUGCUAACUUGGCAUGUGAGCCCCACACUGCUGACUUGGCAUGUGAGCCCCACACUGCUGACGUGGCAUGUGGCCCCACAUGUGGGUCCCACUUUGCUGAUGUGGCAUGCAUAUAAAAAUUGUUUUUUUGUGUGAAUUUUGUAUUCAAAUAAUACGUUUGUUCUAUAUGCAGUUUUGAAUAUUUAACCAUUUUUUUAAAAAAAAUAACAACUUUUGUUUGAACAUAUAUAUUUGUAUAUAUUUUAUAUUUGAUGUAUUGUAUUUCUUUCAGUUAGCUAAUAUAUUUAUAAUAUAUCUAUGAAACUAGUUUAUUUCAUAUUUCACAAAAAAAUUUCAAAUAUAUGCUUUAUUAUUCAUAUGUCAAACUUAACAAAUUUGUUGUGAAGUAAUAAAAUAUGUUUAUACUAUUAAAAUAUAAAAUUUCUAACAUUUUUUCUUAUAAAACCUGUAAACUUAUCGAUAUUUCUGAUAUACAAUAAAAAUAAAAAUAAUUUGAUAGAUAAUUGACGUUUAAAAUUUUAAAAUUUAGAAUAUUCAAUAUUUUAAUUUAAAAGAGAUAAUUUUCAUUAUAUAUAGUAAAAAAAUAUUUCAUAUACUACAAAUAUGUUGGUAAACUUAAAAUAUGUAUGAUAAAAUAAAUACUUGAAAUUUUUGGAAUAUAAAAUAAACAAUUCAGGUAAAAACAAUAAAUAAAUUAUAUAUAGAAAAAAUGUCAAAUUAUAAAAAUAGUAAUUUAUAUAAUAAAAAUAUUGGAUAAUUAAUGGAAGUAAAAAAAUGAUAUCGAUCACAUUUAUAUAAUACAAAAUCAUUUAUUUUAUAUAAAAAAUUGUCAAGGAAAUGAUUGAACAUAUAAACUAUGUGUACAAGAAAAAGUGUUCGACUCAACGUUAAGAUUCAGAUUUAAAAGAAAAUUAGACCACAUUAAUGAAGAAACAUAAAAUUAGAAUGACGGCAUCAUUUGGUGUAAAAUCGUGUCUACAAGUUUAGGAAAACGGGUGUUUGGCACAGGCUUAUAAGCUCCGGAAUUAUAUGUUCCAAGCACUUAUUUGUAAAAAGUCUGUGUAAAAUUCAAGAAAUACUUUUAAAAAACUACAUAUGUUUUUAACUUCUACUUAUUUUUUUAGUUUAAGCAAUAAGAUCACCCAAACCGUCCCAUAAUUACUCAAAUAUAAACAAGAAUGAGAGUGUGAUUUUGUGCAAAAUUCUGUAUAGGUUCUAUAUUGUGGAUUUAUCAUUACUCUGACAACAUAGUAGACUUGUAUUUUGCCAUUUAUUGCUUAGCGGUUAAGACCUAUAAAAGGCUAAAACAAGCCUUGCAACGAAGAUGGAUCGGGGUCUCUAGCUUAAAUAAUUUACUUAGAACGUGAUUUCGCGUUCCCAGAUAUUUAUAUAUUCCGAACCUUCUUACACAUGAUCCUAAUUUAACUACGAAUUUACUUUGCAAAUUCAGUUAUAAUAUAACACCGUCUGUACAGACAUACAUACCAACAUUGUUACCAACAUAUACUAUGCUAAUUAAACAACCAUAUAUAACUUGGUUUAACCAUGAAAAUCUAAUACUUGAGAACCACAAAAUAUUCAAAAAGGUCUUAUGUACAUUUGUUUUGAACGAUACCCAGCUGAUUAUUGUUCACAAAUAAAGCUGCAGAAUGCAUGAAAGACCCAUGAAAUGAUAAACAGUGAAACAAUAUGAACAACAUUUCCCAUAAACAAAGGACCACCAAAAAGAAAAAAGAGUCAGUAACACACUGCACUCCAGUUAUAAUUUGCUACAACUGAAAAAAAAUCAAGCUGUCGAGUUCUUUCUUGUCCAAAAGGGGUGUCAAUUUCGGGUAACGGAUCGUGUUCGUCUUAGCAAUCGGGUCGAUUUUGACUUUUGAGUUGAUUUCGGGCAAAGCUAAAAUCACUUAAAAUUAAAUAAAACUGAAAAUUGAAGUUAUUAGAAACGAAAUUCUAAUUUCGGGGCAUUUUGGGUCCAUUUUAUGUCAAUCGAGUGAUUUCGAGUCAUUUUCGAAUUUUGUCUCAGUAAAUCGGAUUGCAGACCUGGGUCGAGUUCGAGUCACGUUGUCUGAUAUUGUCACACUUGUUUACCUUUUCUGAUGGAAAAAUAAAAGCAGCAAAAACAGUUGAGUACUUCCACAUGCGAUUCUACUAUAUGAAAGAUGUACUCACAUGCUGACAUGCAUUAUUGUCACCAACAUGUAUAUAUCUAAAUAUUUACCAAAUAAACUCUUGGAGGAGUGGAGAUAUAAUGCUUUAUAAAAUUAGCAUGACCCUGAUUUAAAAACAUUUGGAUCGCCUCAAUUUCAGCCGACUCAAUCUGCUUCUAACUAUUCCUCCAAUAAUAGUAAGAGCUUCAGUUAUAACAACUCUUGUUUUCAGGUCAAAUAAUAUACAAAGGUUCCAUAACUUUGUUACAUGGACAUAUGGCUGUGAAUAUAUGUACAGGGAAAACGUCAAAGCAGCCGGCAGCUUCUCGGUAACAACCAAUUAUCUGGCUUGUUAUACCGGCAGAUAUCGGAUUUUUCGUUUAAAUACCCGAAUUUAGAAUUAAAUUAUUUAAGAUAAUCUUAAAUAAGUGUCAGAGUCUAUAUAUAAAUUAAUUUCGAGGACACACAUAUAUAUAUAUAUUACUAAAAUAUAAUUGAAUUUAGUAACGGAAACAUAUCUGUUGUUAAAGACUGACGAAAUUAAUAAUAACGACUUAUGAGAAGAGUUUCGAUGAUGUUACUUGCAACGUUUUGCUAAUGAUUUACCGACAUUACAUUAUCUACUAAUAGAAUCCAACCCAUCGCUAAUAUUGAAGGUAAUUAAUUUGAGCGGUGUAUUAAUUUAAGCAAAUGAAAGCGUAUUUGUUGUGAUGUUAGUAAUGUAGCAGGUGACUUGUGAUGAGAGAAGUGUAAAAUAUGAAAGUGACCCUAACAUUGUAUUUUAAUGAUUGGUAUUUUUGUGUUUGGUAUCCCAGCUGUAUGCGGAGAAGAAAGAAGCCAAUUUGGAUGAACAAUUGACUCUACUAAUCAAAUAGUAAUCACUAUUUGAAUUGGUCCCUAAUGACAGCUCUGUCCUAACGACUAUCCCUUGCUAGCUUUUUGCUAUAUAAACUUCCACAUUGUACCACUAAAGUCAUCAACUCUUAACCUCUAAAGGGGUUCUUUCUUAAAUCAUUCCCCUUCUGCUUCUGUUCAUAAACGAGAUUUUUGACAUCAUUGGCCGGAAGUAGUAAAUUUUCCGGCGGAAAAUGAGAGAUCACGGCAGCCACCCCAUAAGGGGUGGACUGGUUGUAUUGUGCUUAGUAGUAGUGUCAAGCAUUAUGGGAGCCUCAGGGGAUCCCUACAUUUAUUCUUCACCACCUCCUCCGUAUGAGUAUAAGUCUCCACCGCCACCUUCGCCUUCGCCACCACCUCCUUAUGUGUAUAAAUCCCCACCACCUCCGGUGCAUUCUCCUCCACCACCCCCAAUGCAUUCUCCUCCACCACCGUAUGAGUACAAAUCACCACCACCCCCGGUGCACUCACCACCUCCUCCGUAUGAGUAUAAAUCACCACCACCCCCGGUGCAUUCUCCUCCUCCGCCCUAUGAGUACAAGUCACCACCACCUCCGGUGCACUCACCACCUCCUCCAUAUGAGUACAAAUCACCACCACCUCCGGUGCAUUCUCCACCUCCACCAUAUGAGUAUAAAUCACCACCACCACCUUCACCAUCCCCACCACCACCAUAUGUGUACAAGUCUCCACCACCACCCGUCAAAUCCCCACCUCCACCAUACCACUACUCAUCACCACCACCACCCGUAAAAUCCCCACCUCCACCAUACCACUACUCCUCCCCACCACCACCUGUAAAAUCACCUCCUCCACCUUAUCAUUACUCAUCUCCACCACCACCAGUCAAAUCCCCACCACCACCAUACCACUACUCAUCACCUCCACCACCCGUAAAAUCACCACCUCCACCAUACUACUACAAGUCCCCACCACCUCCAGUUAAAUCCCCACCACCACCAUACUACUACCAUUCUCCUCCUCCCCCAGUGAAGUCACCACCUCCACCAUACCACUACAACUCUCCUCCACCACCCAAGCAUUCUCCACCACCACCUUACUACUACAAGUCUCCACCACCCCCCGUCAAGUCACCACCCCCACCAUACUACUAUCACUCUCCACCACCCCCAAUGAAGUCACCACCCCCACCAUACUACUACAGCUCACCACCACCACCCGUCAAGUCCCCACCACCACCAUACUACUACAGUUCACCACCACCACCGGUGAAAUCCCCGCCACCCCCAUACUACUACACAUCCCCACCACCACCAGUGAAAUCUCCACCACCUCCUUACUAUCCUCACCCUCAUCAUCACUCAUACACCGUGAAGGUAGUAGGAAAGGUUUACUGUUACAGAUGCUACGACUGGAAGUACCCAAUCAAGUCCCAUGCAAAGAUGCACCUAAAAGGUAACUUUUUUUCUAUUUUAUCAAUUAUUUAAUACACAUAAUUACCUCCUAGUUACAUUCUUCAGUCUUAAGUAUAUAUGUUUUUUCAGUUAUAUACACGCUCCUCUUUAAUAAUUUAGCUUUCUUACUGAUCAUUGCUUAUUAUAUUGUCCACGCACAUGCAUGCUAGCUAGCUCAUACUACACUCAUUUUCCUUUUCCUUGCUCUUUCUUAAUGUGGAAAUCCUAAUACCCUAGUGAGCUUAAUUAUUAUCACCAGAUCACUUCUAAAAUGUAAAGUUAAUCAUGCUUUUAUAAUGAACUAAUAUGCUUCAUUUAUUAUUAAUCACUUUGGUUUCUUUUUAUGUGACACUGUGAUUUACAUGCAUUCUAUAUAGUUCCGGCCACCUAGUACACUUUAAUGAGCUUGAUUAAUAUCAGAUCAUCUUCCUAUAAAAAGUUAAAUCAUGAUUUAUGAAUUAAUUAAUAUCCAUAACGACCAUAUGUCAUAACAGCUUUAUGUUGUAAAGCGAAAGAAAAGAAGGGCUGGACACCAUUAUAUAAUAGGACAGAUUCGAUCUGGCUAGCACCCACCCGAUCCACAUUGUUCAAUAAAAGACAUGCAUAUUUUUAUCUAUAAUCCACCAAUGAAAUUCUUGAUUUAUGCACCAAAAUUGGACGUAUAUAAUUUGUUCCCUUAUAUCUUUAUUUAGAUUAUAUCUUUAUAUAGAUUAGUGUAUAGUUUAAUAAUAUUAUUUCAAAUAUAUAUUUAAUAUUUUUCCCACCGGGUGUUACAUCUUUUACAUAUAAGCAUGUUAUAUAAUAAUAUAAUAUAAAGAUUUUUAACUUACUUUAAUUUUGGUAUAUGUCAAGCAUAUGCCAAUGAUGUUGCAUAUUAGAUUAAUUAGUAAAGAGAUAUGUCCUUUCAAAGAAUAAAUUAUAAUUAAAAUUGACAUGCUAGUCUUCUAUAUACUGUUAAGAUGUCUACAUACAGAGAAACUUCAUACCACACAUAGUCCAACGAUUGAUCUCUGAUUUGAAAAUAUAGAACGUGUAUUUAUUCUUAUUUGAAAAACGUGGCAACUAGAUCAGAGUUGGAAGCUAAGAUAAUAUAUAUUAGUACAAACAACUCACAAAGGAUAAGAGGACAAAAUGACUUAUUAUUAAAAAAAACUGAAUUAGGUAAAGACUGUAUUUAUUUAAGAUUUUGUCAAUAAAGUGGUUGUAAUAAUUCAACAUGUGGAAACAGGUGCUGUGGUUGAGGUGACAUGCAAGGCAGGAGACAAAGAUGUGGUGGCUUAUGGUAAGACAAAGAUCAAUGGUAAAUACAGCAUCACGGUUAAAGGAUUUGAGUACGGAAAGUAUGGUGGAGCCAAGGCAUGCAAAGCUAAGCUCCAUAUGGCGCCCAAGGAUUCUAAAUGUAAUAUUGCAACAAAUCUUCAUUGGGGCAUUAAGGGUGCUAAACUCAAAGUGAAAUCUAAGAGCAAAUAUGAAGUUGUUUUGUCUGCUAAGCCAUUUGCAUAUGCUCCCAAGACUCCUUACAAGAAGUGUUACAAGCCUGCACCAACACCAGCUCCGGUGACUCCGGUGACACCGCCUUAUUAUUAUAAGUCUCCACCACCGCCACCCAAGUCUCCCGCACCAACUCCUUAUUAUUACAAAUCUCCACCACCGCCAUCUAAAUCUCCGGCACCAACUCCUUACUACUACAAGUCUCCACCACCACCGCCUAAAUCUCCCACGCCAACACCUUACUACUACAAGUCUCCUCCCCCACCAACAAAAUCUCCGGUUCCAGCUCCUUAUUACUACAAAUCUCCCCCACCACCAACUAAGUCUCCCACUCCGGCUCCUUAUUACUACAAGUCCCCACCACCACCUUCACCAUCACCACCACCUCCAUACUACUACAAAUCACCACCACCACCUGUCAAGUCUCCCACUCCCGCUCCUUAUUACUACAAGUCCCCACCACCGCCGUCACCAUCUCCACCACCUCCAUACUACUACAAAUCACCACCACCACCCGUGAAAUCUCCAACUCCAACUCCUUACUACUACAAGUCUCCACCCCCACCGUCACCAUCUCCUCCCCCACCAUACUACUACAAAUCACCACCACCACCCGUGCAUUCACCUCCACCACCUUACUACUACAAAUCACCACCCCCGCCAGUGCACUCACCUCCACCACCCUACUACUACAAAUCACCACCACCUCCUUCGCCAUCUCCUCCACCACCAUAUUACUACAAGUCCCCACCUCCACCAAGUCCAUCCCCUCCACCUCCAUACCAUUACUCAUCACCUCCACCACCUGUGAAAUCCCCACCACCUCCAUAUCAUUAUUCCUCACCCCCACCACCUGUCAAAUCCCCGCCACCUCCAUAUCAUUAUUCGUCACCCCCACCACCAGUGAAAUCCCCGCCACCUCCAUAUCAUUAUUCGUCACCCCCACCACCAGUGAAAUCCCCGCCACCUCCAUAUCAUUAUUCGUCACCCCCACCACCAGUGAAAUCCCCGCCACCACCAUAUCAUUAUUCAUCACCACCACCCCCCGUCAAAUCCCCACCACCUCCUUACCAUUACUCUUCACCACCACCACCAGUAAAAUCUCCACCACCUCCAUAUCAUUAUUCAUCACCUCCACCACCAGUGAAAUCCCCACCACCUCCAUACCACUAUACGUCACCACCACCUCCAGUAAAAUCACCACCACCCCCAUAUCAUUAUUCAUCACCUCCACCACCCGUGAAGUCCCCACCACCACCAUACCACUAUUCUUCACCACCACCACCAGUAAAAUCCCCACCUCCUCCAUACCAUUACUCAUCACCUCCCCCACCUGUGAAAUCACCACCCCCUCCAUACCACUACUCUUCACCACCACCACCAGUCAAAUCCCCACCUCCUCCAUACCACUACUCUUCACCUCCACCACCGGUGAAAUCUCCACCUCCCCCAUACCACUACUCAUCUCCACCACCGCCAGUGAAAUCACCUCCACCACCGUACCACUACUCAUCUCCACCACCUCCCGUGAAAUCCCCACCUCCACCGUACCACUACUCAUCACCUCCACCACCCGUAAAAUCACCACCUCCUCCAUACCACUACUCAUCACCACCACCGCCAGUGAAGUCACCUCCUCCCCCAUACCACUACUCAUCACCACCACCACCAGAAAAAUCACCACCCCCACCAUACCACUACUCAUCUCCCCCACCCCCAGAGAAAUCUCCGCCCCCACCUUACCAUUACUCAUCCCCUCCACCACCCGUAAAAUCCCCACCUCCCCCAUACCACUACUCAUCCCCACCACCACCCGUGAAGUCUCCACCUCCCCCGUAUCACUAUUCCUCACCCCCACCGCCAGUGAAAUCACCUCCUCCCCCAUACGUCUAUUCAUCACCACCCCCACCUGUUGCAUCACCACCCCCACCAGUUUACAUUUAUGCUUCACCACCACCACCCACUCACUAUUAAGGUCCGACCGCUCAGCUAGUUCCAUCCAACAUUCAAGUAAGUUAACUCUUUUACUACAUGAACUACUAUUAGCUUGUUAUUCUCAUAAUAUUUCAAAUCUCACUAACAUGUUCAUAUUCAUAUACUAAUCCCUUCUUCUGUUAAUUUACAGCUGCCAGCUUAAAACAGCAUAGAAUACAACAAAAUAAAAUCCCAGAACCAGAUCAUCAAGUUAAUAAGGUCGUCAACCGUGCAUUACAAAGCUUUAACCUUUUUGACACGGACCAAUUUGCAUUUACAUCAUUAGUGACACUCUUACAUUUGGGAGUUGUUUCAACUACAAAGGGUAUUUUCUAUAGAGGUUUUCCUUAUCUGGUUAAGUGAAAUUAGUAAGUGAGAUGCCUGGCAGAAGUUUGUAUGGUGUGGAACAAGGCUUUCCUGUGUAUUCUUUGUUCAUUUCAAGAGUGUUUAUUUCAUGUAAUUUAUCUGUAACAAUAUUAAUCUUUCAUUUACUUCAAAUUUAGUAAUUGCUGUGCUUUCUUUAUUGGGUUAAUUAUCUAGUUGGUCACUGAAAUGGGUUUAAUGUAUCAAGUUGGUCA